Molecule: long non-coding RNA, 209 nt
Organism: Hibiscus syriacus
Lineage: Eukaryota; Viridiplantae; Streptophyta; Magnoliopsida; Malvales; Malvaceae
Exons: 3
Source: RefSeq, a predicted model, not a curated record
CUGAUGAAACAUGUCGACUUCAAGCAGGGGAGCCUGUCCAACUGUUACAGCAAUUUAUAAAAGUGGUGAUAAAUAAAAGGAAUAAUUUAUGGUAUUUCCAAAGAAUCUAAAUGAUGGAACAAAUGAAGAUGUAAAGCAAAACCCUAUUCAACCAUAAGCUUGCAAUUGUAAAAUAUUGAACUUUAAGCCUUCACCAGCCGGUUGCUAGC